UACGGAGGGUGCGAGCGUUGUCCGGAAUCACUGGGCGUAAAGGGCGCGUAGGCGGCCUAAUAAGUAGGGGGUGAAAUCUUGCGGCUUAACCGCAAGGCUGCCUUCUAAACUGUCAGGCUAGAGCACAGUAGAGGCAGGUGGAAUUCCCGGUGUAGCGGUGGAAUGCGUAGAGAUCGGGAAGAACAUCAGUGGCGAAGGCGGCCUGCUGGGCUGUUGCUGACGCUGAGGCGCGACAGCGUGGGGAGCAAACAGG
Molecule: ribosomal RNA, 253 nt
Filed under: uncultured bacterium
Lineage: Bacteria
Description: partial 16S ribosomal RNA
Rfam family: Bacterial small subunit ribosomal RNA
Source: RNAcentral